UAAGCCAUAUUUACGCAUGCGCACUAUCAAAGCUACAUUGGUAACUAUGACAACAAAAUUUGCACGCAUGCGCACAUGACGUGAACCGGUCCUUCUUCUGUAAACAAAGCUUCCUUCACAUCAACACUCGAUUCAUUAUUCAAACUCAGAAAUGCCAACAAAAGGUUAGAUCUAGAUCUAUAUGUUUGGAAAGAAAAAAACGUUACUGUAAGCCCAGAGGAAGACAUGCUUCAAAGACAAAUGCAUAAUUACAAAGCUCUGUUUUGGAUACAGCUGGAUCUGAAGCAGCAACAAUGCAGCCUGCAAGUGCAGCUGAACGAAAAAUAAUUCUAACUGCAAUUACUAACGCUGAUAACACCAAUAAGAGGCUGCCUGAAGAUUUCAUAUACGUCAUGAUGAAUUCAAUGGAAUUGACCACAAUGGUCUCCUUGUUGUGCUGUCCACAUUGCUUCGACAAAAAAUUAACCAUGUGCAUCACACAAUCAAAAGGCAUGGCUCAUUUGAUUAAAAUCAAAUGCCUAAAUUGUGAAACAUAUUUGUGGCCUGACUGGACCUAAAAAAAAAGUAAUAAUGUUCAUCUGGAUAUUAAUGUCCGCGCUGUCGCUGCAUUAAAAGAAUCUGGAAUCUCGCAUUCUAAAUUUGAUAGGUUUUGUGGACUUAUGAGUAUGCCCUGCAUGCACAGAAAUACUUAUAACAAUCUAGCUAACAUAGUCAACACUGCUAUAAUUGAAGCUGGUGAAGAAUGUAUGAUUAGGGCAUCUGCUGUUGUGCAUGGAAGAAACAUUUCACAACCUCUGACUUCAGAUGAUAGAAUAAGUUCAACAGGCUGUCCUGUUAUUACAGUUUCUUUUGAUGGGACUUGGCAUAAAAGGGGCCACUCAUCUCAUUCAGGAAUUGGCACAGUUAUUGAUUUUGAUACUGGACUCGUCAUCGACACCGAAGUCCUAUCAAAUUAUUGCUGUGUUUGUGAUUCAAACUCAAACUAAAUUUUGAUGCCUCUAAGCAUAUGUGUCAAAAAAACUUCAGUGGCUCAGCAAAUGCAAUGGAGGCCGCAGCAGCAUCCAAAAUUUGUUCUCACUCUGUGGCAUCAGAAAACUUGUUUAUGGCAUGAUGCUGUGUGAUGGCGAUAGUAAAUCACAUUCAUCUGCCAUUACCAACUCAGGAUAUGAUGUAGAAAUCUUAAAAGAGGACUGCAUUAACCACAUCUCAAAAAGAAUGUUUAAUGCUUUGAACAAUUUAAAAAUGUCUAACAAAAAAGAACUAAAUUAUAGGCUUACAAAGCCAAAACUUGAAAAAAUUACAAAUAUUUUAAAGUUCUGCGCCAAAAUGCUCCUGACAUUCAAAAAAAUGAAGCUGGCUGUUAUGGGCUCAUUUUUUCAUAUGAUGAGCUCAGACCUAGAUCAUAACCACAGGUUGUGUCCUGAUGGCACUACAUCUUGGUGUCACACUUUAAGAGAUCAGAGGCACUAAAACAGCCAUACAAAAAACAUAAUCAGACCAUCACAUCAGAAAUAGGAAAACUGUUAUUUCCUAUAACAGACACAAAUCUGUUAAAAACAUGUUCAAGAAUGGGAACACAAAACGCCAAUGAAUCUUUUCAUUCCCUAAUUUGGCAAAUUGCCCCAAAACAGAAUUCGCAACAUUAAAAACUAAGGAUGGCGACAUACCUUGCUGUUUUAGCCUUCAAUAAUGGCAUUAAAUCAGUUUUUGACAUAUUAGGCGUUCCCUGGACACUAAAGAACAUUUCUUCUAGUGAGAAAAAGCAAAAUGUCAAACUACAGCUUGUUGUUAGAAAAAGAUCAAUCACAUUAGUGUCCAGGAGAAAAAAAUUGAAAAAACGAAGAAUUGAGCAUGAGCACCGGGCAGAGGUUCUAGAAGGUCCAACCUAUCAAUCAGGCCAUUUUAAUGAAUAGUUUUUUUAUUAUCUAUUAUGUUAUAUUAUGUAAAUAUUCCCUUUUUUUUUUUCAUUUUUAUGGUUGCAAUAAAUAUUUUAUAUCAUUUUAAAAACUUUAAA
This is a long non-coding RNA of Biomphalaria glabrata, 2014 nucleotides long. RefSeq lists it as uncharacterized. The record is from RefSeq and is a predicted model, not a curated record. NCBI's taxonomy places the organism in Eukaryota, Metazoa, Mollusca, Gastropoda, Planorbidae. The transcript is spliced from 2 exons.